RNAcentral lists this ribosomal RNA (2895 nucleotides) under Triticum aestivum (bread wheat). RNAcentral describes it as "partial small subunit ribosomal RNA". Lineage: Eukaryota; Viridiplantae; Streptophyta; Magnoliopsida; Poales; Poaceae. The record is from RNAcentral.
AUGGGGUGCGGCCAGUCCAAGCUGGAGGAGGAGAAGGCGGUGAAGCACUGCCGGGAGCGCUCCGAGCUGCUGGCCCUCGCCAUCCGCCACCGCUACACGCUCGCCGACGCGCACCGCGCCUACGCCGACUCGCUCGGCAGGGUCGGCGUCGCGCUGCACGACUUCGUCCGCGGCGUCCAGACGCUGCCCCCGCCGCCGCCAGAGCCCACGCUCCACCUGCCCCCCGGCAACCGCAAGGGAGACGGCCUGCCCGCCGCCUCGCCCGCCAACAACCCCGCAAUCGCCUCCUCGUCCAACGGCCAGGCGCCGCCGCCCGCCGCCAAGCAGGUCCGCAUCAACCCCGAUGACCAGCACAUCCACUUCCACUCCGACGGGGACUCCGAUUCCGAGGACGGCCACAUCAAGUUCCACUCCGACGACGAGGCCGACCCGGGCCAGCGCCGGCCCGAGAUCGUUCGCUCCGCGGGGGACCCGGGCCAGAGGCCGCCGCCGCAGCAGAUGGGGCCGCCGCCGUAUGGCUCCUCCGCGUACGGCCCGCCGCCGUCGUAUGGUGCUCCUCCGGGGUACGGGUAUGGUGGAUACCCCCCUCCACCUGACUACGGCGGCAUGGGAGGGCCCGGCGGCUAUGACCCGGGCUAUGGCGGCAUGGGGGGCGCCGGAGGCAAUGGACCGGGAUACAGCAGCAUGGGACCACCGCCACCUAGCAGUGUUGGAUACGACCCACCUGGCUACGGCGGCAUUGGUGGCUAUGGCCAGAGCUUCUUCAACAUGAACUAUGCCCGCAGCCAGCCCCCACCACCGUCCGUUUCACACCAGCACCGCCCGGAGGCCACCGACGCCACAGUCCAGACCUUCUUCAACAUCAGCUAUGCGCGUGGCCAGCCCCCGCCGCCGUCCGUAUCGUUUGAGCAACGCCCGGAGGCCAGUGAUGCCACGGUUCAGACCGUCUUCAAUACCAGCUAUGCGCGGGGACAGCCGCCUCCGCCGUCUGGAGCAUACGAGCAACGCCCGCAGGCCAGCGAUGCCAGAGUCCACUAUUAUGGUGACGGCGGCGCGCAGCCACCCCCGCGCGGGUACAAUGGGUAUGCCUCCCCGCCGCAGAGUUCCUAUAACCAGUAUGCCUACGGUGGUUACUAUGGCGGUGCUGCUGCUCCACCUCCGGCAGAUAUGCCAUCCUCCUCCCGCGAGGAAGUCGUGCCACCGCCGCCUCCAUCUCCGCCGAGUGUGUCUACUUGGGAUUUCUUGAACCCAUUUGAGACCUAUGGGAGCUACUAUGACCAGCCAACUGCUGCUCCAGCGCCAUACACUCCCAGCAGGAGUUCCAAAGAUGUGCGCGAGGAGGAGGGCAUCCCCGAUUUGGAGGAUGAGGACAUGGAGGUAGUCAAGGAAGCUUAUGGUGAGGACAAGCACCUGUUGAAUGGGCACACUGGGAAAGGGAAGGCCGCAAAGGAGGAAGGUCGGAGCAGUACUGGGGAUGAACUGCCCCGUGACUCCAAGUCGUCGCUGCCAAGUAGUAGUGGGAGCAGCUUGGAUCAUGAUGUUCAUGUAGUGGAGAAGAGUGUUGUCGGAGAACAGGUGCGGAAUGAAGCACGUCAACAUGUUGCUGGCCUGCCGGGCACAGGAUCAGAGAAGACGUAUGUUGAUGACAAUGAGGUGGUGCUCGAGAUCAAGGCUCAGUUCGAGCGUGCCUCCAGUUCAGCUGGUGAGGUGUCCAAGAUGCUUGAGGUCGGCAAGAUGCCUUACUACCAGAAAGGUUCUGGUUUCAAAGUAUCUGCGAUGAUGAUUUGUGGGAUACCGACAAUGGAGGAGGAGUUCCUGCGGUUCGAAGAGGACAAGGCGAUGGGAUGUGGCAACCUUUCCUCGACACUACAGAAACUAUACAUGUGGGAAAGGAAGCUUCUUCAGGAAGUUAAGGCUGAAGAGGAGGAAAGGCUUAAGUAUGAUAGGAAACGCCAGGACCUGCAAAUAUUAGAUGAGAAAGGUGCAGAAACUGAAAAGAUCGUAGCGGCUGAAAAGGAAAUAAGGAAGUUAUCGACAAGAAUAAGCAUAGCUAUUCAGGUUGUGAACACCAUCUCAGGCAAGAUCAGUAAGCUAAGGGAUGAUGAGUUAUGGCCACAAACAUGUGAGCUCAUUCAAGGGCUGAUGCGGAUGUGGGAUGUUAUGUUAGAAUGCCAUCAGAUCCAGCUGCAUGCCAUAUCCCAAGCUAAAAACAUAGACUCCAUGAUAGAUGCUGCAAGGUUUGGUGAUGAUCACAUGGACUUGAUCAAGCAUCUAGAGCUUCAGCUAUUGGACUGGACUACCUGUUUUGCCGGAUGGGUUACCGCUCAAAAGAACUAUGUUAGUACGUUAAAUGACUGGCUGCGGAAAGGAGUUGAGUAUGUGCCCGAGGAAACGGAUGACGGCGUCCCUCCAUUUUCUCCUGGACGGUUAGGUGCACCGCCCAUCUUUGUGAUAUGUAAUAAUUGGGCAGCCGGCGUGGCGAGGAUAUCCGAGAAGGAAGUCGUCAAGGCAAUGCAAGCCUUUGCGUCCAACGUUCUCCACCUCUGGGAGAAGCACAGGUCACAGCAAAGGCAGGGUAUGAUGGCCAAUAAAGGAAUGGACAGGGACCUGAGAGUGAUGGAAAAGGAUGAACAAAAAAUGCGCAAGGCUCUGGAAGCAAAGAACAAGAAGCUUGUCCUGGUUUCUGAUCAGACAGGCGUGUCCUUGUCCGCACAGGUGUUACACGGCGCAGGCCCCCAAGCCGAAAACAGCAGCCUGCAGUCGAGCUUGAGGAAUAUUUUUGAAGCGAUGGAGACCUUCACUGCUGCUUCCGCAAAUACUUAUAAGGAUCUCAACCUUCGCGCCGAGGAGGAGAAAGCUCGAGUCGCCGAAGAGAGUGGCAGUAGUGUUCCGUAG